ACGUUAGAUAUAACGUCCCAGCCGGCACACGACCGACCUUCAACGUUGAAAUAUGGUUGAAAUAAGGUCAGUUGUGUUUUGAACGUUGAAAUAAUGUUGAUAGAACGUUUAAUGUUGAAUGGUUGAAAAACAGCCUGCAUAUGACAAGGCUUCAACGUUGAAAUGUGGUUGAAAAUAUGUCAGUUGUUGCUUUAAUGUUGAAACAAUGUUGAAUGAUAAAUGGUUGAAAAAAGUUACAGAAAUCGUUGUACAAAUCAACGUUGACAUUUUUUUUAUCAUGAUCUGUAUAUUGAAUUUACGUCAUGGCUUCACCCAACAUUCAACAUGUUUGGUUACCAUGGUAUUGGAGGACUCCGCGCACGCGGCCACGCGCAGCGCUUCACUUCACUUAAUUACGAACACCUGACCUGCAGUGCAGCAGAAUUCAGAGAGACGCACUAACUUGCACAGCAUUGAAUGGAAAAGGCUUUGUCCAUGACCAGUUGAGGGGCAUCAAGAACAUGCAGAUGGCCUAAACCUGUGUCAGCCUGGACAGACUGCAGUUCUGCUACUCCAUGCCAAGGCUUUUGUAUGGAUGUCUUGACUGCUACUGUGUUCUCUAAAGGUUUUCUGGAAGCUCCAUUUGAGGGCAUCAAGGACAUACUGAUGGC
Molecule: non-coding RNA, 650 nt
Organism: Danio rerio (zebrafish)
Lineage: Eukaryota; Metazoa; Chordata; Actinopteri; Cypriniformes; Danionidae
Source: Ensembl